UAGGGAAUCUUCGGCAAUGGACGAAAGUCUGACCGAGCAACGCCGCGUGAGUGAGAAGGUUUUCGGAUCGUAAAACUCUGUUGGUAGAGAAGAACGUUGGUGAGAGUGGAAAGCUCAUCAAGUGACGGUAACUACCCAGAAAGGGACGGCUAACUACGUGCCAC
This 164-nucleotide ribosomal RNA is filed under the name uncultured bacterium. RNAcentral's name for it is "partial 16S rRNA". It matches the Rfam family "Bacterial small subunit ribosomal RNA", at positions 355 to 511 of the family's 1533-position model. The record is from RNAcentral.